Molecule: long non-coding RNA, 497 nt
Organism: Oncorhynchus tshawytscha (Chinook salmon)
Lineage: Eukaryota; Metazoa; Chordata; Actinopteri; Salmoniformes; Salmonidae
Source: Ensembl
AGGUAGCCUAGUGGUUAGAGCAGGUAGUCUAGUGGUUAGAGGCAGGUAGCCUAGUGGUUAGAGCAGGUAGCCUAGUGGUUAGAGGCAGGUAGCCUAGUGGUUAGAGCAGGUAGCCUAGUGGUUAGAGGCAGGUAGCCUAGUGGUUAGAGCAGGUAGUCUAGUGGUUAGAGCAGGUAGUCUACUGGUUAGAGCAGGUAGUCUACUGGUUAGAGGCAGGUAGCCUAGUAGUUAGAGGCAGGUAGUCUAGUGGUUAGAGGCAGGUAGCCUAGUGGUUAGAGCAGGUAGCCUAGUGGUUAGAGCAGGUAGUCUAGUGGUUAGAGGCAGGUAGCCUAGUGGUUAGAGGCAGGUAGCCUAGUGGUUAGAGCAGGUAGCCUAGUGGUUAGAGGCAGGUAGCCUAGUGGUUAGAGGCAGGUAGACUAGUGGUUAGAGCAGGUAGCCUAGUGGUUAGAGGCAGGUAGCCUAGUGGUUAGAGCAGGUAGUCUAGUGGUUAGAGCAGG